GACGAACGCUGGCGGCGUGCUUAACACAUGCAAGUCGAGCGGUAAGGCCCUUUCGGGGGUACACGAGCGGCGAACGGGUGAGUAGCACGUGGGUGACCUGCCCUCAGCUCUGGGAUAAGCCUGGGAAACCGGGUCUAAUACCGGAUAUGACUCCAUGACGCAUGUUGUGGGGUGGAAAGCCUUGUGCGGCUGAGGAUGGGCCCGCGGCCUAUCAGCUUGUUGGUGGGGUGAUGGCCUACCAAGGCGACGACGGGUAGCCGGCCUGAGAGGGCGACCGGCCACACUGGGACUGAGACACGGCCCAGACUCCUACGGGAGGCAGCAGUGGGGAAUCUUGCGCAAUGGGCGAAAGCCUGACGCAGCGACGCCGCGUGAGGGAUGACGGCCU
Molecule: ribosomal RNA, 388 nt
Filed under: uncultured bacterium
Lineage: Bacteria
Description: bacterial SSU rRNA
Rfam family: Bacterial small subunit ribosomal RNA
Source: RNAcentral